This 469-nucleotide ribosomal RNA is filed under the name uncultured bacterium. RNAcentral describes it as "partial 16S ribosomal RNA". It matches the Rfam family "Bacterial small subunit ribosomal RNA", at positions 28 to 507 of the family's 1533-position model. The record is from RNAcentral.
GACGAACGCUGGCGGCGUGCUUAACACAUGCAAGUCGAACGGUGAAGCGAGUGCUUGCACUCGUGGAUCAGUGGCGAACGGGUGAGUAACACGUGAGUAACCUGCCCAUCACUCUGGGAUAAGCACUGGAAACGGUGUCUAAUACUGGAUACGACCAACCCUUGCAUGGGGUGUUGGUGGAAAGAUUUAUCGGUGGUGGAUGGACUCGCGGCCUAUCAGCUUGUUGGCGGGGUAAUGGCCCACCAAGGCGACGACGGGUAGCCGGCCUGAGAGGGUGACCGGCCACACUGGGACUGAGACACGGCCCAGACUCCUACGGUAGGCAGCAGUGGGGAAUAUUGCACAAUGGGCGAAAGCCUGAUGCAGCGACGCCGCGUGAGGGAUGACGGCCUUCGGGUUGUAAACCUCUUUCAGCAGGGAAGAAGCGAAAGUGACGGUACCUGCAGAAGAAGCACCGGCUAACUACGUG